GGGUUGUGAGGUUAAGCGACUAAGCGUACACGGUGGAUGCCCUGGCAGUCAGAGGCGAUGAAGGACGUGCUAAUCUGCGAUAAGCGUCGGUAAGGUGAUAUGAACCGUUAUAACCGGCGAUUUCCGAAUGGGGAAACCCAGUGUGUUUCGACACACUAUCAUUAACUGAAUCCAUAGGUUAAUGAGGCGAACCGGGGGAACUGAAACAUCUAAGUACCCCGAGGAAAAGAAAUCAACCGAGAUUCCCCCAGUAGCGGCGAGCGAACGGGGAGGAGCCCAGAGUCUGAAUCAGUGUGUGUGUUAGUGGAAGCGUCUGGAAAGGCGCGCGAUACAGGGUGACAGCCCCGUACACAAAAAUGCACAUAUUGUGAGCUCGAUGAGUAGGGCGGGACACGUGGUAUCCUGUCUGAAUAUGGGGGGACCAUCCUCCAAGGCUAAAUACUCCUGACUGACCGAUAGUGAACCAGUACCGUGAGGGAAAGGCGAAAAGAACCCCGGCGAGGGGAGUGAAAAAGAACCUGAAACCGUGUACGUACAAGCAGUGGGAGCACGCUUAGGCGUGUGACUGCGUACCUUUUGUAUAAUGGGUCAGCGACUUAUAUUCUGUAGCAAGGUUAACCGAAUAGGGGAGCCGAAGGGAAACCGAGUCUUAACUGGGCGUUAAGUUGCAGGGUAUAGACCCGAAACCCGGUGAUCUAGCCAUGGGCAGGUUGAAGGUUGGGUAACACUAACUGGAGGACCGAACCGACUAAUGUUGAAAAAUUAGCGGAUGACUUGUGGCUGGGGGUGAAAGGCCAAUCAAACCGGGAGAUAGCUGGUUCUCCCCGAAAGCUAUUUAGGUAGCGCCUCGUGAACUCAUCUCCGGGGGUAGAGCACUGUUUCGGCAAGGGGGUCAUCCCGACUUACCAACCCGAUGCAAACUGCGAAUACCGGAGAAUGUUAUCACGGGAGACACACGGCGGGUGCUAACGUCCGUCGUGAAGAGGGAAACAACCCAGACCGCCAGCUAAGGUCCCAAAGUCAUGGUUAAGUGGGAAACGAUGUGGGAAGGCCCAGACAGCCAGGAUGUUGGCUUAGAAGCAGCCAUCAUUUAAAGAAAGCGUAAUAGCUCACUGGUCGAGUCGGCCUGCGCGGAAGAUGUAACGGGGCUAAACCAUGCACCGAAGCUGCGGCAGCGACGCUUAUGCGUUGUUGGGUAGGGGAGCGUUCUGUAAGCCUGCGAAGGUGUGCUGUGAGGCAUGCUGGAGGUAUCAGAAGUGCGAAUGCUGACAUAAGUAACGAUAAAGCGGGUGAAAAGCCCGCUCGCCGGAAGACCAAGGGUUCCUGUCCAACGUUAAUCGGGGCAGGGUGAGUCGACCCCUAAGGCGAGGCCGAAAGGCGUAGUCGAUGGGAAACAGGUUAAUAUUCCUGUACUUGGUGUUACUGCGAAGGGGGGACGGAGAAGGCUAUGUUGGCCGGGCGACGGUUGUCCCGGUUUAAGCGUGUAGGCUGGUUUUCCAGGCAAAUCCGGAAAAUCAAGGCUGAGGCGUGAUGACGAGGCACUACGGUGCUGAAGCAACAAAUGCCCUGCUUCCAGGAAAAGCCUCUAAGCAUCAGGUAACAUCAAAUCGUACCCCAAACCGACACAGGUGGUCAGGUAGAGAAUACCAAGGCGCUUGAGAGAACUCGGGUGAAGGAACUAGGCAAAAUGGUGCCGUAACUUCGGGAGAAGGCACGCUGAUAUGUAGGUGAAGCGACUUGCUCGUGGAGCUGAAAUCAGUCGAAGAUACCAGCUGGCUGCAACUGUUUAUUAAAAACACAGCACUGUGCAAACACGAAAGUGGACGUAUACGGUGUGACGCCUGCCCGGUGCCGGAAGGUUAAUUGAUGGGGUCAGCGCAAGCGAAGCUCUUGAUCGAAGCCCCGGUAAACGGCGGCCGUAACUAUAACGGUCCUAAGGUAGCGAAAUUCCUUGUCGGGUAAGUUCCGACCUGCACGAAUGGCGUAAUGAUGGCCAGGCUGUCUCCACCCGAGACUCAGUGAAAUUGAACUCGCUGUGAAGAUGCAGUGUACCCGCGGCAAGACGGAAAGACCCCGUGAACCUUUACUAUAGCUUGACACUGAACAUUGAGCCUUGAUGUGUAGGAUAGGUGGGAGGCUUUGAAGUGUGGACGCCAGUCUGCAUGGAGCCGACCUUGAAAUACCACCCUUUAAUGUUUGAUGUUCUAACGUUGGCCCCUAAUCGGGGUUGCGGACAGUGUCUGGUGGGUAGUUUGACUGGGGCGGUCUCCUCCUAAAGAGUAACGGAGGAGCACGAAGGUUGGCUAAUCCUGGUCGGACAUCAGGAGGUUAGUGCAAUGGCAUAAGCCAGCUUGACUGCGAGCGUGACGGCGCGAGCAGGUGCGAAAGCAGGUCAUAGUGAUCCGGUGGUUCUGAAUGGAAGGGCCAUCGCUCAACGGAUAAAAGGUACUCCGGGGAUAACAGGCUGAUACCGCCCAAGAGUUCAUAUCGACGGCGGUGUUUGGCACCUCGAUGUCGGCUCAUCACAUCCUGGGGCUGAAGUAGGUCCCAAGGGUAUGGCUGUUCGCCAUUUAAAGUGGUACGCGAGCUGGGUUUAGAACGUCGUGAGACAGUUCGGUCCCUAUCUGCCGUGGGCGCUGGAGAACUGAGGGGGGCUGCUCCUAGUACGAGAGGACCGGAGUGGACGCAUCACUGGUGUUCGGGUUGUCAUGCCAAUGGCACUGCCCGGUAGCUAAAUGCGGAAGAGAUAAGUGCUGAAAGCAUCUAAGCACGAAACUUGCCCCGAGAUGAGUUCUCCCUGACUCCUUGAGAGUCCUGAAGGAACGUUGAAGACGACGACGUUGAUAGGCCGGGUGUGUAAGCGCAGCGAUGCGUUGAGCUAACCGGUACUAAUGAACCGUGAGGCUUAACCUUACAACGCCGAAG
Molecule: ribosomal RNA, 2925 nt
Filed under: Escherichia coli
Lineage: Bacteria; Pseudomonadati; Pseudomonadota; Gammaproteobacteria; Enterobacterales; Enterobacteriaceae
Description: bacterial LSU rRNA
Rfam family: Bacterial large subunit ribosomal RNA
Source: RNAcentral